AUCCAAAUGGAGGCUCGGCUGGCAUUUGCUUGUCCUGUUUCUCGGCCGCCUACUUGUAAUCCGCUGCCAGCCAAAUCGCUCGCUCACUCCCACCCUCGUCAGCCUCCGGCAGAUCCUCCUCCUCCUCCAUACCGCUCGAAGCUCCGUCCUCCUCCUCCCGACACCUCGAGAUCUCCGCCCCGGACCCGUUUCUCCGCCGCCAAGGCCCAGCGCCGCCGCCGCCCGGCCCUCCCUGUCGCAGGCGACGCCGCCGCCGCCAUGUCCAAGUCUGGAGCCCUGGAUCUCGCGUCGGGCCUUGGCGGGAAGAUCGACAAGGAACAAGUCAAAUCGGCGGUCGACGAGUAUGAGAAAUAUCAUGGAUACUACGGAGGGAAGGAGGAAUCGAGGAAAUCCAACUACACCGAUAUGGUUAAUAAAUAUUAUGAUCUUGCUACUAGCUUCUAUGAGUAUGGCUGGGGUGAAUCCUUCCACUUUGCUCACAGGUGGAAUGGGGAAUCUUUAAGGGAAAGCAUCAAAAGGCACGAGCACUUUCUGGCUUUACAGCUUGAGUUGAAACCAGGGAUGAAGGUUUUGGAUGUCGGCUGUGGAAUAGGCGGGCCAUUAAGAGAAAUUGCGAGAUUUAGCUCCACCUCAGUUACUGGAUUGAACAACAACGACUACCAGAUAACUAGGGGAAAGGCGCUUAAUCGGUCGGUAGGACUUGGCGCUACUUGUGAUUUUGUCAAGGCAGACUUCAUGAAGAUGCCAUUCUCUGAUAACACUUUCGAUGCUGUUUAUGCCAUUGAGGCAACAUGCCACGCACCUGAUCCGGUUGGCUGCUACAAGGAGAUCUACCGUGUAUUAAAACCCGGGCAGUGUUUUGCUGUAUAUGAGUGGUGCAUUACCGAUCACUAUGAUCCAAACAAUGCAACCCACAAGAGGAUUAAGGAUGAAAUUGAGCUUGGGAAUGGCCUGCCAGAUAUCAGAAGUACUCGGCAAUGUCUUCAAGCUGUUAAAGAUGCUGGGUUUGAGGUUAUUUGGGACAAGGAUCUUGCUGAAGAUUCUCCAUUGCCUUGGUACUUGCCCUUGGACCCAAGUCGGUUUUCUUUGAGUAGUUUCCGGUUGACUACCGUGGGACGAAUAAUUACUCGCAAUAUGGUCAAGGUAUUGGAAUAUGUUGGUCUGGCUGAGAUUCUCUUAUGAUAUUGUUGUUCAGGUCAAGGUAUUGGAAUAUGUUGGUCUGGCUCCGGAAGGCAGCCAGAGGGUCUCUAGUUUCUUAGAGAAGGCCGCGGAAGGUCUUGUCGAAGGUGGCAAGAAGGAAAUCUUCACCCCGAUGUACUUCUUUGUGGUUCGGAAGCCUCUUUCAGAAUGAGCAACUUUCAGGCAAUGCAAAGAUGCAUUUUGAAGAAGCGGGCUUGACCGGGGAGUUUGGCUAUGCGAUCCUCGGUUCUUAUCUGUAGAAGAAGACAUAGUGAAAUGUGUUGCGUUUCUGUUUGUUUUGUAUUUAAUGUUGAGCUUCUGUUUUGUUGUUUUGUCGUGUGAACUUUUGAUGCUCGUCGAUUAACUGACUGUUUGACACCAUUGUGCUAAGCUAUUAGUGGCAUAAAUAAGCUAGAUGCAGUUUUCUUCCCCGUCAAGGUUUGCAUAAGGCUGUUCCGAUUUCUUGUCCGAACAAGUGUGUGUACUGUGUAGGAUCCGGUGGUGCUGAAGUUUUGUAACCUAGCAACGAGAAUUUCGCAUGAAUGAUUGUUCCCGGUACUGGAAUUUUCAAGUAUGUUUGCCUUGAAAAUAAUAAUUUGAGGGGUAUGUUUGCCUUAA
Molecule: RNA transcript, 1797 nt
Organism: Triticum aestivum (bread wheat)
Lineage: Eukaryota; Viridiplantae; Streptophyta; Magnoliopsida; Poales; Poaceae
Gene name: cycloartenol-C-24-methyltransferase 1
Exons: 14
Source: RefSeq, a predicted model, not a curated record